Molecule: non-coding RNA, 1372 nt
Organism: Durio zibethinus
Lineage: Eukaryota; Viridiplantae; Streptophyta; Magnoliopsida; Malvales; Malvaceae
Source: RefSeq, a predicted model, not a curated record
UGACUUUGAGAAGCGUCAAUCUUACCAAUUAAGAUCAAUAGCACAGAAGCUGUGGAUGCAGAGAAAUAUUCAAAGGAAUUAUCGAUCAAAGUACCUAGUGGACUCUCAACACAAUUUGUUUUGACAUAUUCCAAUGGGCCUUCACGUCCCUUUAGCACAUAUAAUGUUCGAAUGCGGGAUACUCUUGUUUUGACUAUGAGAAUGUUCCAGAACAAGGCCUUGGAUGACAAGAGAAAAGGAAGAGCAUAGGCCCUCCUUAAUUGAGUAUAGCUUUAGCGUUAUAGUGAUUAUUCAUUGUUUGUUUUUUUAUAGAAAUUGAGAGGAAAUAAACACAUCAAUGUUUGUAUCUUAGUUUGAAUCAAUAAUGAACGAACAUUUCUAUAAUCUUCUUCCUCGGUUUUAUUUUAGAUUACAUUGUUUAGUACACUGCUAGGAUAUGUACCACACAUCUAUCUAUCGUUAGAUCAACAUAUUGUCAAACUACUUCGGCCAUGAGGCAAAAAGAUUGACUUGGCACCGGAAGAUGGUGGAAAAUUAGUAGCUGAAGCAGCUGCUGUGGAAGCCGGCUGCCUGAUUUCCUCAAUUCGUAAGUCUUCUUAAACCAUUUAAAUAUGACAUUGGAAGCCAAAUGCUAUGACCUCAGCCAAAGAGAGUUUUGGAUUCCUUCUGCAUUUUUUAUUUGAUCUGUAAGUAAUAGCAUCUAAAUUGCCUGUCUCUUAAGAUUUUGACUUGAAACCUUCAUUUGGGAGUGAUAGUAUUGUGAUAUUUGAAGUGAAUUUUUUUUGAGUUUGCAGUCAGAUCUUGUGGGUGAUUUUAACUCCAGUUUUCAUAGAAUCCCCAUUCAUGUGGAUUUGUUGCAAUUUUUGUACCAUCGAUGGUCGGUUAUUUUUUUGCAUAGAAAGUUUCCAAGGUUACAACUUUCUGAUAUUGGACAAUUUUAGUUGUACUGGUAAAUUUCAUACUAUUCUGAAAAGUAGGACUUGUGUGUGUGUUAUUUAAGCUCCAUUAUUUCUGGAAAAAAAAAAUAAAGAAUUCGCUUGAAAAAGAUAAUGCUGAAGGAUGUAUAUAUAGAUAAAAAAUAAAAUAAAAGUUAUAAGCAUAGAUAUUAUAAUCAGAUCAAACCUGUGCUUUAUUGAACUGGAUUGAUCUUAUCUAAAUUAAUGAAAACGACUUUAAAACCCAUGUUUAGCUUUACUAGCUUUGUUGUGGAUUAAUUAAAGAGAUGAAUUAUCUAUGAUAAGUAGACAUAGGAUAGCCUUUGUCCUUUGCGAUGUAUGGUUUAAACUGAUUGGUAGUUUUUCAACAUAUCAGUCUAGUUAACCAAAUAAUCUAUUUAUGCACAAGUAAGCAAUUAGCCUAUAGGAAUUUUCUC